GAUGAACGCUGGCGGCGUGCCUAAUACAUGCAAGUCGAGCGAACAGAUAAGGAGCUUGCUCCUUUGACGUUAGCGGCGGACGGGUGAGUAACACGUGGAUAACCUACCUAUAAGACUGGGAUAACUUCGGGAAACCGGAGCUAAUACCGGAUAACAUAUUGAACCGCAUGGUUCAAUAGUGAAAGGCGGCUUUGCUGUCACUUAUUGAUGGAUCCGCGCCGUAUUAGCUAGUUGGUAAGGUAACGGCUUACCAAGGCAACGAUACGUAGCCGACCUGAGAGGGUGAUCGGCCACACUGGAACUGAGACACGGUCCAGACUCCUACGGGAGGCAGCAGUAGGGAAUCUUCCGCAAUGGGCGAAAGCCUGACGGAGCAACGCCGCGUGAGUGAUGAAGGUCUUCGGAUCGUAAAACUCUGUUAUCAGGGAAGAACAAAUGUGUAAGUAACUGUGCACAUCUUGACGGUACCUGAUCAGAAAGCCACGGCUAACUACGUG
This 497-nucleotide ribosomal RNA is filed under the name uncultured bacterium. Its description in RNAcentral is "partial 16S ribosomal RNA". It matches the Rfam family "Bacterial small subunit ribosomal RNA", at positions 28 to 507 of the family's 1533-position model. The record is from RNAcentral.